Molecule: long non-coding RNA, 1068 nt
Filed under: Vigna radiata
Lineage: Eukaryota; Viridiplantae; Streptophyta; Magnoliopsida; Fabales; Fabaceae
Description: long non-coding RNA (VRAD_LNC001697)
Source: RNAcentral
GAGUGAGUUCAAGGAGAUAAACAGGGUUCUGUUUGGAGGGGAGGGACAGCAACAGCAAGGCCAGGAGAGUCAGCAAGAGGGAGUGAUUGUGGAACUUGAAAGAGAACAGAUUCGCGAACUGAUCAAACAUGCCAAAUCUAGUUCAAGGAGAGCCCUUUCCUCCCAAGAUGAACCAAUCAACCUGAGAAACCGCAAACCCAUCUACUCCAACAAAUUUGGAAGGUGGUAUGAGAUCACCCCGGAGAAAAACCCCCAACUUAGGGACAUGGACAUGUUCAUCAGUUCUGUGAAUAUGAAAGAGGUAACAGGAAGGAAAACCAUAUCACUGUCGUCUUAAUUAUAAAAUCUUAGUACCGAUGCAAUAAUUAAAUAAUGGUUUCUUUUUUAAAAACUUUAUUAGGGAGGCCUUCUUCUGCCACACUACAAUUCUAAGGCCAUAGUGAUUCUGGUGAUUAAUAAAGGAGAAGCAAACCUUGAACUUGUUGGGCAAAGAGAACAAGAACAAGAGGAAAGCUGGGAAGUGCAGAGGUAUAGAGCUGAGUUGUCUGAAGACGAUGUAUUUAUAAUUCCAGCAACAUAUCCUGUUGCUAUCAACGCUACCUCCAAUCUAAAUUUCUUUGCUUUCGGUAUCAAUGCUGAGAACAACCAGAGGAACUUCCUUGCAGGUAUAUUAUAUGAUAUAUCUCCCUCAAAUUUGAAUACAGUGUUGUUUGUUUUAUGCGACAUGAUGAGUUUGUUGAUUUACGUUUGAAGGUGAGAGAGACAAUGUGAUAAGCGAGAUACCUACAGAGGUGUUGGAUGUGACGUUCCCUGCGUCUGGUGAGAAGGUUGUGAAGCUGGUAAAGAAGCAGAGCGAAUCCUACUUUGUGGAUGCACAGUCUGAGCAAUAAAUAUGAAGUGAAAUGUAUGUAUGGUGGAAGAGCUCAUAUAUAGAGAGCAUGGAAAUAUGUAUCGGCCAUGUAGCAAUAAAUGAGCUCCAGCUCACUUCUUGAAUGAAUAAUAAAGGGUAUAUUUAUUUUUAUAUAUUCCUUUUCUUUAUAAAUACAAUGUUGAAAUUUUUAAUAACCA